RNAcentral lists this long non-coding RNA (346 nucleotides) under Struthio camelus australis. RNAcentral describes it as "lncRNA (ENSSCUG00000004429.1)". The record is from RNAcentral. Lineage: Eukaryota; Metazoa; Chordata; Aves; Struthioniformes; Struthionidae.
AGCAGUGGGAGACAGGUUCGACUUCCAGCAAGCGGAAGCGGGUGAGCAGAGGCAGGACGAGGGCCAGCACGCUCAGCCGGCGGCGGGGUGCCAAGCUGGCCCCCGCCCCCCAGCCGGAGGCCUCCACUCCCACCAAAGUGACCUGUGUUUAGUCCAGGAGCUCAGCUCCCUCUCCUUGCUAAAACGGAUUCCGCUCAGGGGCUUGGCGUUUGAGUGGGAAGGCCAUGGGUUCUAACGAAGAAGGUUCAAAAAUAAUUCAAUGAGUGUCAAAACUGCAACUGCACGGUGCAGCUUAAGACAUCUGGCGGGUAGGUGCACGGACCGAACCGUAAGCUCCGUUCCACGC